UGAAUACGAGAUGCUACGGCAUCGAAGCAGUCUAUGUCAUACUUCCAAGAAAAGCUUGCACUGUCAUAAACAAAUAAUGCCUGUACCAUAACCGACACAGGUGGGUAGGUAGAGUAUACUAAGGGGCGCGAGAUAACUCUCUCUAAGGAACUCGGCAAAAUGACUCCGUAACUUCGGGAGAAGGAGUGCCUUAUUUUAUAAGGUUGCAAUAACAAGAUCCAAGCAACUGUUUACCAAAAACACAGGUCUCCGCUAAGUCGUAGGACGAUGUAUGGGGGCUGACGCCUGCCCAGUGCCAGAAGGUUAAAGAAGUUGGUUAGCAUUAGCGAAGCUGAUAACUGAAGCCCUGGUGAACGGCGGCCGUAACAAUAACGGUCCUAAGGUAGCGAAAUUCCUUGUCGGGUAAGUUCCGACCCGCACGAAAGGCGUAAUGAUUUGGAUACUGUCUCGGAGAGGGGCUCGGUGAAAUAGACUUGUCUGUGAAGAUGCGGACUACCUGCACCAGGACAGAAAGACCCUAUGAAGCUUUACUGUAACUUGAGAUUGAAAUUGGACUUUAUUUGCGCAGUAUAGGUGGGAGACGUUGAAAAUAUUCUUGCGGGAAUAUUGGAGUCAUCAGUGAGAUACCACUCUUAUAAUGUUAGAUUUCUAACUUUGAAUCAUUAUCUGGUCAAAGAACAGUCUCAGGCGGGCAGUUUGACUGGGGCGGUCGCCUCCCAAACGGUAACGGAGGCGCACAAAGGUUUCCUCUGAACGUGUAGAAAUCGUAUCUAGAGUGUAAAGGCAUAAGGAAGCUUGACUGUGAGACCUACAAGUCGAGCAGGGACGAAAGUCGGUCUUAGUGAUCUGACGGUGCUGAGUGGAAAGGCCGUCACUCAACGGAUAAAAGUUACUCUAGGAUAACAGGCUGAUCUCCCCCAAGAGUUCACAUCGACGGGGAGGUUUGGCACCUUGAUGUCGGCUCAUCGCAUCCUGGGGCGGUAGUACGUCUCAAGGGUUGGGCUGUUCGCCCAUGAAAGCGGUACGCGAGCUGGGUUCAGAACGUCGUGAGACAGUUCGGUCCAUAUCCGGUGUAGGCGUUAGAAUAUUGAGAGGAGCCUUCUUUAGUACGAGAGGACCGAGAAGGACAUACCUCUGGUGUACCAGUUAUCGUGCCAACGGUAAACGCUGGGUAGCUAUGUAUGGAGAGGAUAACCGCUGAAAGCAUCUAAGUGGGAAGCCCACCUCAAGAUAAGUAUUCUCAUG
This 1245-nucleotide ribosomal RNA is filed under the name metagenome. RNAcentral's name for it is "bacterial LSU rRNA". It matches the Rfam family "Bacterial large subunit ribosomal RNA", at positions 1564 to 2818 of the family's 2925-position model. The record is from RNAcentral.